CUGAGCAUGGAGGAGUGAAGUCUCCUAGGAAUCUGCUAGAAGUUUCAGCAGAAGCAAACAAGUGCCAGAAUCCUGUCGCUGUGCCCAUACACUUGCCCGCAUUGAAGCCAGGUCGUACUCUUGUGAAGCCUUCAGCUAGACAGAAGUUCACAGAUCGAUCUUCAGGGCAUCAAGUGUCCAGGUUUUCUACCUUUGUAAAUAUUGAGGCACACAGAAACGGCAGCGACCCUGAGGUUAAGACUCACAUUUCCUUACCCAGACUGCCAGGUUUUCCAAAAGGACCAGUGAAGAAAAGAGUCGCUGGUGCUGAGACAAAAAAUCUCAUGUUGAGUCAAACUGAUGAUGAGGAUGUCAAGAUGAAGAGGCCUCAGUCAGCUAAAAGCAACCGUCUUCCGCUCUCAAGAAUCUGCUUGGGGUUUACAGAGCAUCCACAUGAGAACAAAUCAGAAACAUGUUUGUGAAUAACAGUGCAUGAAAACUGCUUUGAAGUGUGCUGUGUUCACCAAUAAAUGUUUUGUGCAUUAAAAUGA
This is a non-coding RNA of Danio rerio (zebrafish), 530 nucleotides long. Lineage: Eukaryota; Metazoa; Chordata; Actinopteri; Cypriniformes; Danionidae. The record is from Ensembl.